AAACUAUUCUUAAAAAGCAAAAAAAAAAACUUUAAAUACCACUUAUGUGAUUUUACACUUUCUCAUUUUAAUAUUCUGUAGUUUAAAAUGUAUCACUUUUAUACCCUAUAAUUUUANUUCUCUUUUUUUAUUUUUUCUUUAGUUUUUUUCUUAAUUUUUCGUUAAAUUAUAUGCAAAAAAAUUUCAGAUAUCCAUCUAGAUUUACCGAAUAUUUACUUUAGUACCCUUUAAUUUUAAUUUUGUUACUGAUUUGAGAAAAAAAAUAAUAAAAUUAAUAAAAAAAGAGAAAAACGAAACAACAGGAGGGCAAAUUGAUACAAUUUAAACCAUAGGGUACUAAAGUGAGAAAAUUGGAAACCACAGGAAGGAUUUUUAAAAUUAUCCUUUAUUUUGUUUUAUUCGCUUCCCGCUUUAUUUAUUUUUUUUUAAAAAAUAUAAUUAUUAAAUUUUUUGCCAUUUGCGUUGGGGACUGCAGGCAC
RNAcentral lists this long non-coding RNA (479 nucleotides) under Ananas comosus (pineapple). RNAcentral describes it as "long non-coding RNA (ACOM_LNC018533)". The record is from RNAcentral. Lineage: Eukaryota; Viridiplantae; Streptophyta; Magnoliopsida; Poales; Bromeliaceae.